This 450-nucleotide ribosomal RNA is filed under the name uncultured bacterium. RNAcentral's name for it is "partial 16S ribosomal RNA". It matches the Rfam family "Bacterial small subunit ribosomal RNA", at positions 354 to 796 of the family's 1533-position model. The record is from RNAcentral.
GUGGGGAAUAUUGGACAAUGGACGAAAGUCUGAUGGAGCAACGCCGCGUGAGUGAAGAAGGUUCUCGGAUCGUAAAACUCUGUUGUGAGGGAAGAACAAGUACCGGAGUAACUGCCGGUACCUUGACGGUACCUCAUUAGAAAGCCACGGCUAACUACGUGCCAGCAGCCGCGGUAAUACGUAGGUGGCAAGCGUUGUCCGGAAUCAUUGGGCGUAAAGCGCGCGCAGGCGGUCCCUUAAGUCUGAUGUGAAAGCCCACGGCUCAACCGUGGAGGGUCAUUGGAAACUGGGGGACUUGAGUGCAGAAGAGGAAAGCGGAAUUCCAAGUGUAGCGGUGAAAUGCGUAGAGAUUUGGAGGAACACCAGUGGCGAAGGCGGCUUUCUGGUCUGUAACUGACGCUGAGGCGCGAAAGCGUGGGGAGCAAACAGGAUUAGAAACCCGAGUAGUCC